GGCUGCCUUCAGGAAGAGGGAAGAACCAGACUGCAGGAGGAAAUGGUGAGCUGCAUAAGCACACUCAUGAUAAUGUGUUAGCUGCAACUUCACAAGAGAGAAAUUCUUCUAAAUCUGGCCAUGAGCUUUCAGAGGCAGAAUACCCAUAUCUGGGGAAUGGAAAGCCUGUACCAUCAGAGAUUCGGAUAUCUCAGUCAUCCGUGUGGGGUUCUUUCAAUGCCAAUGGCUUCUCUCGCCUAUCUGAAAGAAUUGAUUCUGGGUCUGAGGGCCUUCAACGGCAUGAAGAGUCCAUGCCAGAAAGGAUCACCCCACUUUAUUCUGGCAUUUCAUGUACAUGGGGCUCUGCUUCAAUCCCAGUAGAAACGGCAGCAGAGGGGUCUGAACCAGUUUUAGAAAAUGAGCAAGAAAGGAUUGCACAGAAUUCAUAUCGUCUGAAGGAUGAAGUUGAUUUUCCUCCUCUUUUCCAAGGGAGAGGAGUGGGGAUGUAGUAGUACCACAGGAAAUGUGCGCAAGUUUUAGAUGCUAACAUCUUCAUAGAUCUAGG
RNAcentral lists this unclassified non-coding RNA (544 nucleotides) under Hevea brasiliensis (rubber tree). Lineage: Eukaryota; Viridiplantae; Streptophyta; Magnoliopsida; Malpighiales; Euphorbiaceae. The record is from RNAcentral.